Molecule: ribosomal RNA, 199 nt
Filed under: uncultured bacterium
Lineage: Bacteria
Description: partial 16S ribosomal RNA
Rfam family: Bacterial small subunit ribosomal RNA
Source: RNAcentral
ACGCUCGACACCUACGGGAAGCAGCAGUGGGGAAUAUUGCACAAUGGGGGAAACCCUGAUGCAGCGACGCCGCGUGGAGGAAGAAGGUCUUCGGAUUGUAAACUCCUGUUGUUGGGGAAAAAGAGGAUGGUACCCAACAAGGAAGUGACGGCUAACUACGUGCCAGCAGCUGCGGUAAUCUGGAGCGGGCUGGCAAGGC